CCCGCCCCUAGGGAGGGAGGGCUAAGAGGAAGUGACGACGCUGAGCGCAUCAUUAAAUAGCAAUAGGAGGAACGCCGCGCUCUCUCGGCCCUAGCGCCAUCUUCCUUGAAACUCCUGCGCUAUGAGAGCGAAGUGGAGGAAGAAACGAAUGCGCAGGCUGAAGCGCAAGAGAAGAAAGAUGAGGCAGAGGUCCAAGUAAAAGGCUGUGCACGCACGGAAGCCGUGGGAGCAGAUGCAUGGAGUGCCGGAGCCCGGGACGCUGGUGCACACUGUCGACUGGGCUGCUGGCGAGAAUUCGUCUCGAUGCACCUGUAACUUCAUCGAUCGUCAAGACCACGGCCCUUCGUACCACCCAAGCAAGCAGUCCCUGCGGCCCUCCGCCCUGGACCUGUGGCAUUCUGGACUAGUUCUGUUCUCACUUAUGGCGGAGUGUAACCGUGUACAAUAAAUCAUCCCUUUUGCUGUCUCAGCUGAAGAAGCAAA
Long non-coding RNA from Nannospalax galili (Upper Galilee mountains blind mole rat), 483 nucleotides. RefSeq lists it as uncharacterized. The transcript is spliced from 4 exons. Lineage: Eukaryota; Metazoa; Chordata; Mammalia; Rodentia; Spalacidae. The record is from RefSeq and is a predicted model, not a curated record.